Molecule: ribosomal RNA, 468 nt
Filed under: uncultured bacterium
Lineage: Bacteria
Description: partial 16S ribosomal RNA
Rfam family: Bacterial small subunit ribosomal RNA
Source: RNAcentral
GACGAACGCUGGCGGCGUGCUUAACACAUGCAAGUCGAACGGAAAGGCCCUGCUCUUGUGGGGUGCUCGAGUGGCGAACGGGUGAGUAACACGUGAGUAACCUGCCCCUGACUUUGGGAUAACUUCAGGAAACUGGGGCUAAUACCGGAUAGGAGCUCCUGCUGCAUGGUGGUGGAUGGAAAGUUUCGGCGGUUGGGGAUGGACUGGCGGCUUAUCAGCUUGUUGGUGAAGUAGUGGCUUACCAAGGCUUUGAAGGGUAGCCGACCUGAGAGGGUGGCCGGCCACAUUAGGACUGAGAUACGGCGCAGACGCCUACGGGAGGCAGCAGUCGGGAAUAUUGCACAAUGGGCGGACGCCUGAUACAGCAACGCCGCGUGCGUGAUGACGGCCUUCGAGUUGUAAACCGCUUUCGCAUGUGACGAAGCGUGAGUGACGGUACUGGAUAAGGAAGCACCGGCUAACUACGUG